Tympanuchus pallidicinctus (lesser prairie-chicken) is the source of this 4124-nucleotide long non-coding RNA. RefSeq lists it as uncharacterized. The record is from RefSeq and is a predicted model, not a curated record. Lineage: Eukaryota; Metazoa; Chordata; Aves; Galliformes; Phasianidae. The transcript is spliced from 2 exons.
GUGCUGGUGGCACAGCAGCCACAGCUGCCCCUCUGCUUCUGUGGGCCUGAGCAGCUCUGAGGCAGCCCCAACCUGCAAGUUUUGCACUGUUUUUUUUUUGUUGUUGUUCUGGUUGCAUCCAGAAUGUCCUGAGACACCAGAAGUGAGAGCUCGGCCGAGGCACCCUGAGGUGUGCGGAGCGCGCUGAGUGCUUCCACUCCCUGCUCUUCCACGGAGCAGUUGGUGCUGGGGGCAGCAGUGGCAGUUCUGCAUGGAGACAAUAUGACAGAGGACCAAUGCCUCAGAACGAGGACUUCUCAGAGCUACCUCAACAUAACCAUCACAACAGCAGUCAGUAAAAGCUUUGUGUCUUACAUGGUCCAGAAUUUCACAUAUGAAACUUCUAAAAAUGUUUCUGCUAUUUUUGUAUGAGAAUUUUCUUCAAAAAUAUAAGUUCUGAAAAUACUUGUGUGUGUGUCUGUGUGAAAUGUGCAAUGGUUCAAAUUACCGAAAAAUUCGGAAAACAACCACUGCCCUCCUGUAGCCCCGCUCCCCAUCAGUCAGUGCUGCUAUGGCAGCCCGCCGGCUGCUGAGGAUGGGUGCUGCCAGCUGUGCGCCUCUGCACAAUGGUGCUUAACCCCGCUGGUCAGGGCAUUCCUUUCUUUUUACUGAGGGGUCAACAGAAAAGCAUUGGUUUCUUAAGUUGACUUUCACAGUUUCAUUUUAAAAGUAAAUAAGUUGUUUCAACUUCUAAACAUGUUAUGCACACGUGUUGGGUCGGAAGUUGGGAACCACUGUCAAGGGUUGUAAUGAUGAAUAUCAUAGAAACUUCUGUAAAUAUUUUUCUUCAUAGGAGGUACAUGCAACUGAGAUGGCAGAUUUGUCAGGGUGGACUUUCGGUAUAGCUGUACUGCACCUGAAGGAAGCAUUCCUCCUCCCUCAAAUUGUUUUUUUUGAGGACUUGUCACUUAAGAGCAUUGAUGUGCGUUAUUCUCUGUAUAUGGAAGCAAAACAAAAACAAGAAAGGAUGCAGGGAGUGCAUGGAUGAAAUGUUAACUAUCAAGACUUUGGGGUAAGAGGGUCACCUUUAAGAAGAAAGAGCAUGGAGUUUCCAUGGAGUCCAGAGAACGUGUGGUGCAGCGUGGGAUUCCUGCUUAGAGCUGGGAAAGUUGGAUGUUCCAGCUCUGUCGAUGCAGAGCAUUUUAUCUGUGGGAAUUGCUAAGCACUGAGCGUGCGGUGUUGCGUGGCCUUUGGGGAGCUGAUAGCUGGUUUUCCAUGUGGCUCUUCGUGCUGCUCGCAGUACUUUUCUACACUUAGAGUGCAGAGUGCAGUGCAGUUUCAAUACAAACAUAUACUUCUGUAUAUUAAGCAUGUGCAUUAAUAUAUUAUUAUUACUUGGACUAAUAACAAAUAGUAGUCAGUCAGUGAGAUAAAAAAGGACAGAGUUCAAUAGUAAUUCUCAGACAGCUUAGCAAUUACCCAGACAGCUUGCAGUCAGAAAAGCUGUUCAAAUCCAGGAUUAUGAACUACACCGAUGGCAGUUCUGCUGGGUGGAGUUUUAGAAGAUUGUGAGUAUGUUCAGAGUAAUUGUAAGACUCAUUUGCAGCGUUCCUCCCAGUGAACUUCUCCUUUGCAAGCCAAUGUCAACAACUGUAAAAAACCCAACCUCCAAAGGCCGGUAGGCUGCUUCCCAAAAUCCGUCAGAAUUAUUUUCAGUUAUUUGUGUUAGAAAGGUGUCUGCACUUAUUGGCAUCUUGGAGGUUUUUCAUCCUUCCUCUUUAAUGACAUAAAUCCAAAAUUCCUUUCAUUUCUGUAAGAAUAGUCAACAUCAAAGAGCAUGCAUGGCAACACAGAUUUUGUGGCUUUGUUCUUAAAAUCAGUUUCUCUCUUUCCUUUGUGUCUGUGGCUUCUUUCCUCGUUAUUUUGGAUAGUGUCUGCUGUUUUUGUUUGCAUCCUCUGUUCUGGCUCUGCAUUUGGGCUUCCCAGAGCUUUGUGUACACGUGGUGGCUGAAAUGCACCCAGCGCCACGGGGCAGCGGGAGCAGGGGAGUGCUGAAGUCCUGCCUAAGCCUGGAAGCAGUCCUCCGAGUUCUCCAGCAAAGCUGGCAGCCACUGGGCUGCUCCCAGCGCAGGCCUGGGCAGGGUGCUGCUGUGCUCGGCAGCGCCGGCCAGGGAAAGCAGGGAGCUUAGGUGCACACUUUGAUCUUGAAGAGUUGAAUGAAAAAGGGGUGUUGUAGUGUUUUGAGCUUUUUUUUUUUUUAGGGCAGUACAUGAUUUUUUUAUAGUGUGCAUUAAAUUCUGUACCUCCAGUGAGCAUUAAAGCCACCUCAUCACUCAGCUCCGGAGGGGAGAGCGAGCUCCAAAGCUGGAGAGGCAGCUGUUAAGAGAUUUCCAUCUCAACAGCCUCUCAUGCCAAUAGGACUGUGAUCUGGGAAUAUAACAAGGCUUCUGGGUAUAAAGUUAAUAAAUAACCACUGUAUUCCCUUUGCCAUUUUAUUUUCUGUGCCUAGCCCCAGUGACUUCUAAGCCUAAGCAAGCAUCGGUUCCUGGCCUGAUGUGUUUGACAUAAGCACAUAUAUUCCUUAAGCAGGAGACUUUCUAUGCAAAUUUUGCUUCAAAAAGAUUGUUGAAGGAAGAAAAGGUCAUUUGUGUCGCUGAGUAUCCAUACUCACAUACUGUCAAUAAAUGCUGUAUUUUCAGUCACUGAGGUUUUUAUCCCUUCAAUCAGGGGGGGCUGAGGUCAAGGUAUAUAUUUUAGGUCGUGUUCUUCCUGCUGAUGGAGACAAUACAUUUUCUGUCUGUGAUAUUGUUUCUUUUCACAUCCAGAAUAUUUGGUGUGAGGGUGUGGCUGUCAGAGCCCCUGGGAACUAACUCGAAUUACAGUCAUGGUUAAAAGCUCAAAUGAUUCUCAGUCAUUCCUGUCAUACUCAGUCCCGGUACAAAGGAGACUCUGAUUUUCUUAUCAGAUACACCGUCUCUGUACCACAGAUGAAAGGUUGAUAGAGCUUUUCCAUCUUAAGUUUGUAGCUGUUAAGUAGCCAUGCAGGUAGCAUGAAGUUAGGCCCACAGAUUUCUGAGUGCUCUUAAGGUGUCUCAGAUCAAUAUUUGAGGUUACCAAAAGCCGAGGGAUCCAGGGAGCAGCACACGGCCAUGGAGGUGCAGCUGUGGGGCUCCGUGUUUCAGGGGGUUGUUAUUGUCAGCUCCUUUUGGAGCGUUCGUUGCUUUGUAAAAGCACUGGGUAAAUUCACUGUGUUCGCAUGUGCUGGCAUCAGAAAGGAUUUCUUCCUCCAAAAGGAGGGACUGGGACAUGGGGUGUGUAGAGUGCCCUCCAGCCAAAGGCCAUGCCUAGCUUAGUGUUACCAUUGCAGUCCUUUUGUUUGUACCUCGCUUUGUCUCCAAUGUAAAUUUCCGUGUCCUCGCACUGUUCUGUAGUUAUGCAAAAUAGUUUCAAUUUAGCUGUGAUAUAACAGUAAUGCAGUUCUGAUUUUUUUAUGGGUUAAAUCUUCGGACUUACAUAAUGAAGCUAAUGGGAGCCUGUCAGAAGUGUGCGUAGCGUAGAGGUGGUGCUGAGGGACGUGGUUUAGCGGGGAAUGGUGGUGGUGGGCGGUGGGUUGGACUGUGAUCUUGGAGGUCUUCUCUAACCUUGGUGGUUCUGUCAUUCUGUGAUUCUAUGAUCCUGUGAUAAACACUGAGGUUCCCAGGACACCAAAGCAUGAAUCCUGACUGAUUUUCAUAUGCAAAUGUGUGUGGUUACUGUUGAAGCUGUUGUGUAUUAAAAUACAGCGUUGCAUUAGUUGUUGCUUUAUCUGUUUAAAUAUGAGUUAGUCCUUGCAGCAGGAAUACCUAGGAAGCCAGAGAUGAGGAUGAUGGGUCUUCUGUUAGCCAUCAACUUUCUAUUUUUUUGCAUUUUUCUUCUUGAGCCUGGUACUUGAGAAUAGCAGAGGGAAGAUUUAUUUCAUUUUGCCUUUGUGUGUGUGUGUGCUAUUUCCUUACUUGUUUUCAGGCUGCCUGACGAAGAAUCUUCUUUCUUUUGUUGCCUCUGCUUUGGUUCUGCUCCCCACUAAUCUGAAAUAUUGUGAUUACAUCUUCCUGUCUCCUGCUCCUUCUUUCCUUAUGUUCUAAAUAAAAGAAUAUACUGUUCCUUCA